ACGGCUAAAUGAGGACAACCCUGUCUCCUGCGGCCAAUCAGUGAAACUGAUCUUCCAGUACAAAAGCUGGAAUAAAAUCAUAAGACGAGAAGACCCUGUGGAGCUUCAAACCAAAUACUACUAAUAAGCUUAGUAAGAGGUUUUAAGUUGGGGCGACUUCGGAACAAAACACAACUUCCAAGCACAGAGACACAACCUCUCUUUCAGGCCAACAUGCCUAAAAUAUAUAAACGACCCAGUCAUACUGACCAACGAACCAAGUUACCCCAGGGAUAACAGCGCCAUCUUCUUCAAGAGUCCAUAUCGACAAGAAGGUUUACGACCUCGAUGUUGGAUCAGGACACCCAAAUGGUGCAGCCGCUAUUAAAGGUUCGUUUGUUCAACGAUUAACAGUCCUACGUGAUCUGAGUUCAGACCGGA
This 420-nucleotide ribosomal RNA is filed under the name Subdoluseps bowringii (Christmas Island grass-skink). RNAcentral describes it as "partial 16S ribosomal RNA". It matches the Rfam family "Bacterial large subunit ribosomal RNA", at positions 1996 to 2620 of the family's 2925-position model. The record is from RNAcentral. Lineage: Eukaryota; Metazoa; Chordata; Lepidosauria; Squamata; Scincidae.